This 421-nucleotide ribosomal RNA is filed under the name bacterium enrichment culture clone ALO1_GLFRUDD03GT4A9. RNAcentral describes it as "bacterial SSU rRNA". It matches the Rfam family "Bacterial small subunit ribosomal RNA", at positions 9 to 429 of the family's 1533-position model. The record is from RNAcentral.
GAGUUUGAUCAUGGCUCAGAUUGAACGCUGGCGGCAUGCCUUACACAUGCAAGUCGAACGGCAGCACGGGAGCUUGCUCCUGGUGGCGAGUGGCGAACGGGUGAGUAAUGCAUCGGGAACGUAUCCUGGAGUGGGGGAUAACGUAGCGAAAGUUACGCUAAUACCGCAUAUUCUGUGAGCAGGAAAGCGGGGGACCUUCGGGCCUCGCGCUCUUGGAGCGGCCGAUGUCGGAUUAGCUAGUUGGUGAGGUAAAGGCUCACCAAGGCGACGAUCCGUAGCAGGUCUGAGAGGAUGAUCUGCCACGACUGGAACUGAGACGACGGUCCAGACUCCUACGGGAGGCAGCAGUGGGGAAUUUUGGACAAUGGGGGCAACCCUGAUCCAGCCAUGCCGCGUGAGUGAAGAAGGCCUCGGUUGUAAG